ACGGGCCAGGACGAGGCCGUCCUCGUCGCUCUUGGCGGGGAUGGUGCAGAAGGGGCAGCCGUCUUCAGCGUUGGGGCCGGUGGGCUUGUUC
This 91-nucleotide transfer RNA is filed under the name Streptomyces daqingensis. Its description in RNAcentral is "tRNA-Lys". Lineage: Bacteria; Bacillati; Actinomycetota; Actinomycetes; Kitasatosporales; Streptomycetaceae. The record is from RNAcentral.